AAGUCUUGUCCGGUAAAUCUUCUUAAGUAUCGCAGUUUUAGUCAUAAUUCUUCGUUUUUUUCAGAUUUUAAGUUCCAUUCUUUAUUAUUUUCAAAGUUAUACUCAGUCAUUAAAAACGACUAAAAAUUAUUAAAAUUCAAUAGGAUUUAUUAUGUCUAAUACUAUCAAUGGUACAGUAAAGUGGUUUAACGAAGCUAAAGGAUUCGGUUUUAUUCAACAAGAAUCUGGAUCAGAUGUUUUUGCUCACUUUAGUGAAAUUGCCAGCUCUGGUUUUAAAACUUUAUUCGAAGGUCAGCAGGUAUCUUUCAGUGUUGCUCAAGGUCAAAAAGGCCCUAAUGCUGUAAAUAUUGUUGCUCUAUAACACAUAGCAAGUAAUUAAAA
Molecule: small RNA, 381 nt
Filed under: Acinetobacter radioresistens
Lineage: Bacteria; Pseudomonadati; Pseudomonadota; Gammaproteobacteria; Moraxellales; Moraxellaceae
Description: cspA thermoregulator
Source: RNAcentral